RNAcentral lists this ribosomal RNA (463 nucleotides) under Vreelandella stevensii. RNAcentral describes it as "partial 16S ribosomal RNA". It matches the Rfam family "Bacterial small subunit ribosomal RNA", at positions 338 to 795 of the family's 1533-position model. Lineage: Bacteria; Pseudomonadati; Pseudomonadota; Gammaproteobacteria; Oceanospirillales; Halomonadaceae. The record is from RNAcentral.
CCUACGGGUGGCUGCAGUGGGGAAUAUUGGACAAUGGGCGAAAGCCUGAUCCAGCCAUGCCGCGUGUGUGAAGAAGGCCUUCGGGUUGUAAAGCACUUUCAGUGGGGAAGAAAGCCUUGGGGCUAAUACCCUCGAGGAAGGACAUCACCCACAGAAGAAGCACCGGCUAACUCCGUGCCAGCAGCCGCGGUAAUACGGAGGGUGCGAGCGUUAAUCGGAAUUACUGGGCGUAAAGCGCGCGUAGGCGGUCUGAUAAGCCGGUUGUGAAAGCCCCGGGCUCAACCUGGGAACGGCAUCCGGAACUGUCAGGCUAGAGUGCAGGAGAGGAAGGUAGAAUUCCCGGUGUAGCGGUGAAAUGCGUAGAGAUCGGGAGGAAUACCAGUGGCGAAGGCGGCCUUCUGGACUGACACUGACGCUGAGGUGCGAAAGCGUGGGUAGCAAACAGGAUUAGAUCCCUAGUGUC